UGGUAGCAAAGUAGUAAUGAUAUAAUUUAUUUUGUUAUUUACAGAUAAUAAAAUUACCCAGUGGGAAGACCCCAGACUGCAGAACCCAGCAAUUACUGGUCCUGCUGUUCCAUAUUCUAGGGAGUUCAAACAGAAGUAUGACUAUUUCAGGAAGAAGUUAAAGAAGCCCGCUGAUAUACCAAACAGAUUUGAGAUGAAGCUACACAGAAAUAAUAUUUUUGAGGAGUCCUACAGAAGAAUCAUGUCUGUGAAAAGACCUGAUGUACUGAAGGCCAGGCUCUGGAUUGAGUUUGAGUCAGAAAAAGGACUUGACUACGGAGGUGUGGCCAGAGAGUGGUUUUUUCUCUUGUCCAAGGAGAUGUUCAACCCGUAUUAUGGUCUUUUUGAAUAUUCAGCAACGGACAACUACACGCUUCAGAUUAACCCUAAUUCAGGUCUUUGUAAUGAAGAUCACCUGUCAUAUUUCACAUUUAUUGGACGAGUGGCUGGCCUGGCAGUGUAUCCUGG
Meleagris gallopavo (turkey) is the source of this 507-nucleotide non-coding RNA. NCBI's taxonomy places the organism in Eukaryota, Metazoa, Chordata, Aves, Galliformes, Phasianidae. The record is from RefSeq and is a predicted model, not a curated record.